CACUCCUCGCUGACAUUGACUCGCUUCCAUUUCAAAAUCAUUUCCCUUUCUGACCUGAUUCUUCUUCUACUCCGCGGGACGCGGAUGGGACGGCAGAUUUGGAAGCUUUGGAUGUGUUCGUGAAACGUGGAUUUUUGACUCGAGUUGAAGUUGUGCGCAGCGGUGAGUAGUGUGGGGGAAGAUGGGAUUUUUUAGCACGGUGUCGGGCUUCUUCGGGUUUGGAGUGGGGCUGACUGUGGGGAUCGUUGCUGGAUACUACCUCUUCGUCUACUUCCUGUCCUCUGAUGUCGAUCAGGAUCCUAAGAUUCGUCCACUUGUUGAACAUGAAACGCAAUCACUGGAACGUAUAUUUCCUGAAAUUCCUCUAUGGGUAAAGAGUCCAGACUAUGAACGGAUUGAUUGGUUGAAUAACUUUCUCGCACUAAUGUGGCCAUACCUCGAUAAGGCUAUCUGCAAGACUGCUAAGCAAAUUGCAGAUCCUAUUAUUGCCGAGAAUACUGCAAAGUACAAUAUUAAUUCUGUUGAAUUUGAAAAAUUCACUCUUGGUUCACUGCCACCAACUUUUCAAGGAAUGAAAGUUUACAGUACAGAUGAGAAGGAACUUAUUAUGGAACCAUCACUUAAAUGGGCUGGGAAUCCCAAUGUAACUAUCGCUGCCAAAGCCUAUGGAUUAAAAUUGUCUAUACAGGUUGUAGAUUUACAAAUCUUUGCUUCUCCACGAAUUACUUUAAAACCAUUGGUCCCUAGCUUCCCUUGUUUUGCAAAUAUCUUUGUGUCCCUCAUGGAGAAGCCACAUGUUGACUUUGGAUUAAAACUUGUUGGGGCUGAUCUUAUGGCCAUUCCUGGCCUUUACAGAUUUGUUCAGGAGACCAUAAAGAAACAAGUUGCAAAUAUGUAUCUGUGGCCUAAAUACCUACAAGUGCCUGUACUUGAUGCUUCAAAAGCCUCAAAUAAGCCUGUUGGAAUGCUGCAUGUGAAGAUUGUCAGUGCACAUAAACUAAGAAAGAAAGAUUUAUUUGGCAAAUCAGAUCCGUAUGUGAAACUUAAGCUUUCAGACGAUAAACUUCCGUCAAAGAAGACAACCAUCAAGAAGAGCAACUUAAACCCUGAGUGGAACGAAGAAUUCAAUUUUGUUAUAAGAGACCCAGAAAAUCAACAAUUGGACCUUAGUGUUUAUGACUGGGAACAGGUGGGAAAACAUGAAAAAAUGGGCAUGAAUGUUAUUCGGUUAAAUGAACUUAACGCUGAUGAGCCAAAAAUUUUAACACUCGACUUGGUGAAGAGUCUUGAUAGUAUUGAGGUUCAGAAUGACAAAUUUCGUGGGCAGAUUGUUGUGGAAGCAACAUACAAGCCUUUUAAGGAAGAUAAAUUGUUAGAGGUUGAUAGUGAGAAGGCUAAUGGAGUACACGCUCCUAAUAGUACUCCUACAGGUGGUGGCGUGCUUGUUGUUACCAUUCAUGAAGCUCAAGAUCUUGAGGGAAAGCACCAUACGAACCCCUAUGUGCGUCUUACCUUUAGAGGAGAGGCGAAGAAAACUAAGGUAUUUUGUGAACCAGCAUAUCAAGAAAAACAGAGAUCCAAGAUGGGAAGAAGUACACCAAUUUGUAUGUGAGGAGCCUCCUAUCAAUGAGAGAAUACAAGUGGACGUACAUAGCAAGGCACCGAGUAUUGGUAUACACUCCAAGGAAAACUUGGGGCAUGUCAUCAUUAACCUUGCAGAUGUGGUACACAACAGGAGAACCAAUGAGACAUAUCAUCUAAUUGACUCGAAAAAUGGAAGAAUUCAGAUAGAAAUGGAGUGGAUUACUUCUUAGAGUUUCAUCUAUUGAGCUAAUCCCCGCACUGAUUUGAUAUGAAAAAAUUAUGCGGGAUGAGCAAUGCUGUUGUGAUAUCAAGGUUGCAGAAUACUGAUGAUUGAGACGACGAGCCUUGUAGAUAUUUGAUUGCUUUCUUUCAACGGAGUUACAUUGCUUUUGAGACUUCGGGAAACAGGUUUCAUGUUGCAACAAUAAUCAUGUUUUCAUUCGAGUGUAUGGAUAUUGAUGAUGAUUGAGACGACGAGCCUUGUAGAUAUUUGAUUUCUUCCUUCCAAUAGAGUUACAUUGUGUUUGUGUCUUCAGAAACAGAUUUCAUGUUCCAACAACAAUUGUGUUUUCAUUUGCCGAAUGGUUUGCCCGAAUAACA
This is an RNA transcript of Zingiber officinale, 2184 nucleotides long. It is a transcript of the gene named synaptotagmin-2-like, with no coding region annotated. The transcript is spliced from 13 exons. The record is from RefSeq and is a predicted model, not a curated record. NCBI's taxonomy places the organism in Eukaryota, Viridiplantae, Streptophyta, Magnoliopsida, Zingiberales, Zingiberaceae.